AUGAAUUUUGGAGUUCUACUGUGCCUGCCGUUCAUUCGGAUGUGUGCACGUAGUCUCUAUAAAUCCUUAUCAACACCUGUGCACCUUUAAAAAGGGGGGAGUCUGAUUAAGCAUUUUAUGAUGCUUAUGACGAAUAACCUCUUUUCUUAUACGAACUCUUUUAAUGUCUAUUAGAAUGUUCUCUGGCCGCAAGGCUAUAAAAUAUAAA
RNAcentral lists this unclassified non-coding RNA (208 nucleotides) under soil metagenome. RNAcentral describes it as "partial internal transcribed spacer 1". The record is from RNAcentral.